Molecule: ribosomal RNA, 1418 nt
Filed under: Limosilactobacillus fermentum
Lineage: Bacteria; Bacillati; Bacillota; Bacilli; Lactobacillales; Lactobacillaceae
Description: bacterial SSU rRNA
Rfam family: Bacterial small subunit ribosomal RNA
Source: RNAcentral
CAGUCGAACGCGUUGGCCCAAUUGAUUGAUGGUGCUUGCACCUGAUUGAUUUUGGUCGCCAACGAGUGGCGGACGGGUGAGUAACACGUAGGUAACCUGCCCAGAAGCGGGGGACAACAUUUGGAAACAGAUGCUAAUACCGCAUAACAGCGUUGUUCGCAUGAACAACGCUUAAAAGAUGGCUUCUCGCUAUCACUUCUGGAUGGACCUGCGGUGCAUUAGCUUGUUGGUGGGGUAACGGCCUACCAAGGCGAUGAUGCAUAGCCGAGUUGAGAGACUGAUCGGCCACAAUGGGACUGAGACACGGCCCAUACUCCUACGGGAGGCAGCAGUAGGGAAUCUUCCACAAUGGGCGCAAGCCUGAUGGAGCAACACCGCGUGAGUGAAGAAGGGUUUCGGCUCGUAAAGCUCUGUUGUUAAAGAAGAACACGUAUGAGAGUAACUGUUCAUACGUUGACGGUAUUUAACCAGAAAGUCACGGCUAACUACGUGCCAGCAGCCGCGGUAAUACGUAGGUGGCAAGCGUUAUCCGGAUUUAUUGGGCGUAAAGAGAGUGCAGGCGGUUUUCUAAGUCUGAUGUGAAAGCCUUCGGCUUAACCGGAGAAGUGCAUCGGAAACUGGAUAACUUGAGUGCAGAAGAGGGUAGUGGAACUCCAUGUGUAGCGGUGGAAUGCGUAGAUAUAUGGAAGAACACCAGUGGCGAAGGCGGCUACCUGGUCUGCAACUGACGCUGAGACUCGAAAGCAUGGGUAGCGAACAGGAUUAGAUACCCUGGUAGUCCAUGCCGUAAACGAUGAGUGCUAGGUGUUGGAGGGUUUCCGCCCUUCAGUGCCGGAGCUAACGCAUUAAGCACUCCGCCUGGGGAGUACGACCGCAAGGUUGAAACUCAAAGGAAUUGACGGGGGCCCGCACAAGCGGUGGAGCAUGUGGUUUAAUUCGAAGCUACGCGAAGAACCUUACCAGGUCUUGACAUCUUGCGCCAACCCUAGAGAUAGGGCGUUUCCUUCGGGAACGCAAUGACAGGUGGUGCAUGGUCGUCGUCAGCUCGUGUCGUGAGAUGUUGGGUUAAGUCCCGCAACGAGCGCAACCCUUGUUACUAGUUGCCAGCAUUAAGUUGGGCACUCUAGUGAGACUGCCGGUGACAAACCGGAGGAAGGUGGGGACGACGUCAGAUCAUCAUGCCCCUUAUGACCUGGGCUACACACGUGCUACAAUGGACGGUACAACGAGUCGCGAACUCGCGAGGGCAAGCAAAUCUCUUAAAACCGUUCUCAGUUCGGACUGCAGGCUGCAACUCGCCUGCACGAAGUCGGAAUCGCUAGUAAUCGCGGAUCAGCAUGCCGCGGUGAAUACGUUCCCGGGCCUUGUACACACCGCCCGUCACACCAUGAGAGUUUGUAACACCCAAAGUCGGUGGG